This 1545-nucleotide ribosomal RNA is filed under the name Triticum aestivum (bread wheat). RNAcentral describes it as "partial small subunit ribosomal RNA". Lineage: Eukaryota; Viridiplantae; Streptophyta; Magnoliopsida; Poales; Poaceae. The record is from RNAcentral.
AUGGGCAGCCAGAUAAUGCGGACGCGGCCGGGGCAGCCGCAGGGGUCGGCGAACCCGGCCUGGAACGAGGACUUCAUGUUUGUCGUCAGCGAGCCAUUUGAGGACCAGCUUGCGGUGACCGUGGAGGAGAUGGUCGGCCACGGGAGGUACGAGCCCAUCGGCCGCGUCAUCAUCCCCGUGGCAUCGCCGCACGUGGAGUGCAACGACCUGCUUGUGCCGGUGUCGUCCAAGUGGUUCAGCCUCUCGCGUGGGAUGACCGGGAGCAAGAUCCUGCUCAGGAUGAGUCUGGACACGGCGUACCAUGUGUUGGACGAGCGGCCGGACUUCAAACUCCGCAAGAGCGCCAUUGGCAUCCUGGAGGUGGGGAUUCUGGGCGCACGUGACCUGGCCGCGGGCGUGGAGAACCCGUACGUCGUCGCCAAGUACGGCAGGAAGUGGGUGCGCACACGCACUCUCCUCAACACCACCGCGCCGCAAUGGAACGAGCAGCACACCUGGGAUGUGUUCGACGUCUCCACCGUCAUCACAAUGGCCGUCUUCAACGACUCCCAGGGCGUUGCCAAUGACCAGAGGAUCGGCAAGGUGCGCGUUCGCGUCGCCACCCUCGAGACGGACCGCAUGUACACCCAGUACUACCCGCUCAUGGCGCUUACCCGGUCCCGGCUGAAGAAGAUGGGGCAGCUCCAACUUGCAGUCCGCUUCACCUGCAAGUCUUGGCCCAAAAUGCUGGCCAUGUACGGCAAACCACGGCUCCCCAAGAUGCACUACACCAACCCAAUCACCGUGCGGCAUAUGGACUACCUCCGGUUCGAGGCGAUGCAGAUGGUGGCCACGCGGCUGGGCAGGUCGGAGCCGCCGCUGCCGAGGGAAGUGGUGGAGUACAUGCUCGACGUCGACUCCGACACGUUCAGCCUGCGACGGAGCAAGGCCAACUUCUACCGGCUCAUGGCCCUCUUCUCUGGCAUCAUCGUCGUGUGGAAGUGGUUUGACGACGUCUGCAAGUGGAAGAAUCCGGUGACGACGAUUCUGGUGAACGUGGUAUACCUGAACCUGGUGUGCUACCCGAAGCUAAUCCUGCCGAUGGGAUUCCUGUGCUUCAUCAUGAUCGUUGCGUGGAACUACCGGCAGCGGCCGCGGAAUCUGCCGCACAUGGAUGCGGUGCUGUCACACGCGGAGCUCGCACACCCGGAGGAGCUGGACGAGGAGUUCGACACGUUUCCGGCGUCCAGGCCGGCUGACAUCGUGCGGAUGAGGUAUGAUGGACUAAGGAGCAUCGCCGGCAGGGUGCAGACGGUGGCUGGGAACCUUGCUACGCAGGGAGAGCGCCUGCUGUUCCUGCCUCGCUGGCAUGACCCCAGGGCGACAACCAUCUACAUGAUGCUCUUGGUGAUUACGGCAGUCGUACUGUACCUGACGCCGUUCCGAGUGGUGGCCAUGGUGAUACAGCUGCACUUCCUCCGGCCCCCGUGGUUCCGGAGCAGGACCCCGAACCUGAUCUUCAACUUCUACCGUCGUCUGCCUUCAAAUCAAGACCUGAUGUUGUGA